Gossypium arboreum is the source of this 652-nucleotide long non-coding RNA. RefSeq lists it as uncharacterized. The record is from RefSeq and is a predicted model, not a curated record. NCBI's taxonomy places the organism in Eukaryota, Viridiplantae, Streptophyta, Magnoliopsida, Malvales, Malvaceae. The transcript is spliced from 2 exons.
CCGUUCUCUUUUGUUUUCCAAGGAAAAAACAAAACACCCUCUCCCCCUUUUGUCUUUCCAACGAUCGGGCUCCCUCACCGCCCACCGUACCACCACUAUUUUCGGUGGCCGGUGACGCGCAACAAUAGGUAUUUCAACCCCGUUUUUGGGACCCUUUGAAGGCCGAGUUUUCAGCCAAACAAUGCGGAAAUGAAAGGGUCUCUCCCUCUCUAAACGACGCGACCCCGACGGCGGAGGAGGGAUCUCCAAUGACGAAGCCCCGAGCGAUUCCAUUUCGUCUUGCAAGUGUCAGACGCGUGGAAGGCCGAUGGUUGGUGCCCCAAGCGGUGGUGGUGGCGCGCGUGAUGGCCAAGGGGAGGGGGAGUGGCGGCUGAACUUUGGUGGCUAGGGUUAGGGUGGCUGCUGAAAAAAAGUUUAAGAUAGUGGGCUGACUUGGGCUUUAGGGUUUUAGGUUAUUGAGUUUAUUUUGGGCUAAAAUUUGAGUAUUGGGUUUUAAUUAGGUUUUGUUUUAAUUUUGGGUCAUGUAUUGGACUAUUUUUUGUUUAUUUGGUUUGGGUUCUUUUAGGCCAAAAUUGCCUAUUAUAUUUACACCUACCUUCAAAUUUUAUAGAAAAAGAAAAUAAUAUUAAGAGGACUUGCUCUUAUCAUGAAA